GAUGAACGCUAGCUACAGGCUUAACACAUGCAAGUCGAGGGGCAGCAUGAUUGAAGCUUGCUUCAAUCGAUGGCGACCGGCGCACGGGUGAGUAACACGUAUCCAACCUGCCGAUAACUCGGGGAUAGCCUUUCGAAAGAAAGAUUAAUACCCGAUAGUAUAGUAUUUCCGCAUGGUUUCACUAUUAAAGAACUUCGGUUAUCGAUGGGGAUGCGUUCCAUUAGAUAGUUGGCGGGGUAACGGCCCACCAAGUCAACGAUGGAUAGGGGUUCUGAGAGGAAGGUCCCCCACAUUGGAACUGAGACACGGUCCAAACUCCUACGGGAGGCAGCAGUGAGGAAUAUUGGUCAAUGGACGAGAGUCUGAACCAGCCAAGUAGCGUGAAGGAUGACUGCCCUAUGGGUUGUAAACUUCUUUUAUACGGGAAUAAAGUGGAGUAUGCAUACUCCUUUGUAUGUACCGUAUGAAUAAGAAUCGGCUAACUCCGUG
This 489-nucleotide ribosomal RNA is filed under the name uncultured bacterium. Its description in RNAcentral is "partial 16S ribosomal RNA". It matches the Rfam family "Bacterial small subunit ribosomal RNA", at positions 28 to 507 of the family's 1533-position model. The record is from RNAcentral.